RNAcentral lists this ribosomal RNA (490 nucleotides) under uncultured bacterium. RNAcentral's name for it is "partial 16S ribosomal RNA". It matches the Rfam family "Bacterial small subunit ribosomal RNA", at positions 30 to 507 of the family's 1533-position model. The record is from RNAcentral.
AUUGAACGCUGGCGGCAGGCCUAACACAUGCAAGUCGAACGGUAACAGGAAGAAGCUUGCUUCUUUGCUGACGAGUGGCGGACGGGUGAGUAAUGUCUGGGAAACUGCCUGAUGGAGGGGGAUAACUACUGGAAACGGUAGCUAAUACCGCAUAACGUCGCAAGACCAAAGAGGGGGACCUUCGGGGCUCUUGCCCUCGGAUGUGCCCAGAUGGGAUUAGCUAGUAGGUGGGGUAACGGCGCACCUAGGCGACGAUCCCUAGCUGGUCUGAGAGGAUGACCAGCCACACUGGAACGGAGACACGGUCCAGACUCCUACGGGAGGCAGCAGUGGGGAAUAUUGCACAAUGGGCGCAAGCCUGAUGCAGCCAUGCCGCGUGUAUGAAGAAGGCCUUCGGGUUGUAAAGUACUUUCAGCGGGGAGGAAGGGAGUAAAGUUAAUACCUUUGCUCAUUGACGUUACCCGCAGAAGAAGCACCGGCUAACUCCGUG